UAGCUUUAAAUCAUUCAGCUACAAAUCUGUGUGGUAUGAUUGUGGCUCACAUUAGAGCGCUUAAACACGCUGCGUUUCUUACACUAUUGCUCUUGUGUUUUUGAAAACAUCACUUAAAGGCAAAUCAUUUGGCACAUUAGAUAGCAUGUUGAUUCAGAGAGCAAAUGUUCAUUUUACCACAAGCACAGCAAAGAAGCUCAUGUGGUUGCAGCUGCAAAUAAAUUCAGCUCCGGUGUCAUCGGUAUCACAGCCCUCUGUGCUCCAG
Molecule: long non-coding RNA, 265 nt
Organism: Sander lucioperca (pikeperch)
Lineage: Eukaryota; Metazoa; Chordata; Actinopteri; Perciformes; Percidae
Exons: 2
Source: RefSeq, a predicted model, not a curated record